RNAcentral lists this ribosomal RNA (600 nucleotides) under Chaetothyriales sp. A527. RNAcentral's name for it is "SSU rRNA". It matches the Rfam family "Eukaryotic small subunit ribosomal RNA", at positions 149 to 756 of the family's 1831-position model. The record is from RNAcentral. Lineage: Eukaryota; Fungi; Ascomycota; Eurotiomycetes; Chaetothyriales.
GUGGUAAUUCUAGAGCUAAUACAUGCUAAAAACCUCGACUUCGGAAGGGGUGUAUUUAUUAGAUAAAAAACCAAUGCCCUUCGGGGCUCCUUGGUGAAUCAUAAUAACUUAACGAAUCGCAUGGCCUUGCGCCGGCGAUGGUUCAUUCAAAUUUCUGCCCUAUCAACUUUCGAUGGUAAGAUAGAGGCUUACCAUGGUCUUAACGGGUAACGGGGAAUUAGGGUUCUAUUCCGGAGAGGGAGCCUGAGAAACGGCUACCACAUCCAAGGAAGGCAGCAGGCGCGCAAAUUACCCAAUCCCGACACGGGGAGGUAGUGACAAUAAAUACUGAUACGGGGCUCUUUUGGGUCUCGUAAUUGGAAUGAGUACAAUCUAAAUCCCUUAACGAGGAACAAUUGGAGGGCAAGUCUGGUGCCAGCAGCCGCGGUAAUUCCAGCUCCAAUAGCGUAUAUUAAAGUUGUUGCCGUUAAAAAGCUCGUAGUUGAACCUUGGGCCUGGCUGACCUGUCCUCCUAAUCGAGCGCACGGGUUCGGUCGGGCCUUUCCUUCUAGGGAACCCCAUGCCCUUCACUGGGUGUGGUGGGGAACUAGGACUUUUACC